RNAcentral lists this ribosomal RNA (402 nucleotides) under uncultured bacterium. RNAcentral's name for it is "bacterial SSU rRNA". It matches the Rfam family "Bacterial small subunit ribosomal RNA", at positions 355 to 774 of the family's 1533-position model. The record is from RNAcentral.
UUAGGAAUAUUGGACAAUGGGCGCAAGCCUGAUCCAGCCAUGCCGCGUGAGUGAUGAAGGCCUUCGGGUUGUAAAGCUCUUUAGCCGACGAAUAUAAUGACUGUAGUCGGAGAAUAAGCCCCGGCUAACUUCGUGCCAGCAGCCGCGGUAAUACGAAGGGGGCGAGCGUUAUUCGGAAUCACUGGGCGUAAAGCGUGCGUAGGCUGUUUUGUAAGUCAGAAGUGAAAGCCCAGGGCGUAACCCUGGAAUUGCUUUUGAAACUACAAGACUCGAAUUCGGGAGAGGAUAGCGGAAUUGUCAGUGUAGCAGUGAAAUGCGUAGAUAUUGGGAGGAACACCAGUGGCGAAGGCGGCUUACUGGACUGUAACUGACGUUGAGGCUCGAAAGCGUGGGGAGCAAACA